UUACCACGGUGUGGCCGAUGACUGGGGUGAAGUCGUAACAAGGUAGCCGUAGGGGAACCUGCGGCUGGAUCACCUCCUUAAC
Molecule: ribosomal RNA, 82 nt
Filed under: Acinetobacter baumannii
Lineage: Bacteria; Pseudomonadati; Pseudomonadota; Gammaproteobacteria; Moraxellales; Moraxellaceae
Also listed under: 5 other names
Description: partial 16S ribosomal RNA
Rfam family: Bacterial small subunit ribosomal RNA
Source: RNAcentral